RNAcentral lists this long non-coding RNA (1148 nucleotides) under Nicotiana benthamiana. Its description in RNAcentral is "long non-coding RNA (NBEN_LNC009417)". Lineage: Eukaryota; Viridiplantae; Streptophyta; Magnoliopsida; Solanales; Solanaceae. The record is from RNAcentral.
AUUGACGGAGAUGGCGGCCUUCCAGUCUUGUAGCUCAUUUAAAUCAGCCGUUAGGGAAUCUUCAGUGAUUUGCAUGAGAUCAGGAGAUGUAUCUGAUUUCCCAAGAAUCAUGGGAGACUUCCUGAUUUGACUAUGUGAUGUUGAUCUUCUCCUUGUGUGCCAACGGCUUCUCUUAAUGAAUAUUUCCUUCCUUGUUUAAUGUUUCAAUCUUGCUUCCUUGAUUUAGUGAGAUGGUAGAUUGUCUUUUAUCCUUGCUUCGCUUGCCGUUUAUCCAUGCUUUAGUGAUUCUGCUUUCCUCCUUGAAUAUCUGUACAUGUAUAUUAAUUGCAUCAUUAAAAUCUAAUCUAACAAUCUCCCCCUUUUUGAUGAUGGCAAAAUUAAUAUACUGGAAUAAACAACAGUUGACUUCCUUGUUUAUAUUCAGUUGAGUAGCAGGAUUGCUCCCCCUCAAUGUAUGGUCAACUGGACGUUAUCUCCCCCUGUGUAUGUGCUGUCGAUGUGUUCUCCCCCUCAUUAGGUGCAGUCGACUGGUACUUGUAAAGAAAUAUCGAAUAGUUGUCUGGAAAAUAGGUGCAUACGCUAGUCGACUUGCCUUUUCAGUAGCCGACUUGACUUUUCAGUUUGUACUAUGCCAUAGCAUAGUCAGAUAAUACUUAGUCGACAUAUUAUAUAUUUCUCCCCCUUUUUGACAUUAUCAAAAGAGGGAUCAGUAACAAAACUAAUAACCAAAAGAUUAUCCACGGGCAGAGCCCAAACACAACCAAAAAGCUAGAAACAAACAAACAAAAAAUUGUCUUAAAGCCACAAUCAACCACAACGCAGAAAAUAAGUCAGAGUAUUGCAAAUAGCCUCCUUCAUCUAAUCAAAGCUAGUGUUGGCAGCAACAUUCAUUCCAUCCAGUCUGUCAUGCACCUCUUUGAACUUUUUGAUCGCAUUCGCUCUUACCCUUUCACAACCACCCUGAUUUUGGAGACAUUAGACCCUGUUUCCUUGGAAAAAGCAUGAAUAGAAUCCAUAGUCGACUUGAUGUCAGAGAGUUGAGACUCAACAGAGCGCACCCUAUCACUGAGAUCUGAGGGAAUAGGCGCGGAUAGAGAGGCAUGAGUUGGCUUGAUUUCCUCAGGAGUGGAUUUGGCCUCACAUUCUCC